CUACGGCAAGGAAAAAAAGACAAACCUUAUAAUUCAAAACGCGUAAGGCCAUUUACGCAGACAUCAUUAUGAAACAUAUAAUCUCGGACACUGUUGAUCGCCCACCAUGUUGUCACAAAUCUUCCUUCAACAGAAAAGAACGCAUAAGGUUGCUUCCUGUUUGAAUGUGAUUAUUUCUCAAAUCUCCACGGAGCAGCAAGAGAAAAUUGCAGACAGGAGGAAUUAAAUGCUCUCUGUAGUCAGAUAGAAUCUCAAAGCCUGACAUACACCCAAAUUUCGGACAUCAUUUUGGAAGUUUAGGUCCUCUAUUCUGUAUUCGGUAGUGUUCACAUGAAUAACUCUCAUAAUCUGUUCAAUUGACAUGAACCUUUUCUCUAUGGUUGCCAAAUCUUACUAAUCUUACUAAACAACCCUGUGUUCUUGAAAACAAAAAAAGUACACUCAUGGAGGGAACAUCUUGCUUACUGUAGGUAAUCAUCUGUAUAACUGCAGUUAGAGAGUGCAAAUUCUCUGCAGGCAAAUUGAUUUUUCGAGAACAGACAAAGUCAGGAGUAAGAUGCAUGGAGGAAGAGAAUAGAUCAAGAAAUCUCACUUCUAUCAUUUUUGAACUGUCUUGCACUGUGUUUCUGAUUAAUGGUUAAGGAACUAAACUUAGAGGUUCAAAUUUACAGGUUCAAUUCUCAGGCCAGACACUGCUGUUGCACCCUUGAGUGAGAAAAUUAAGCUGAACUUCUUCAGUAAAUAUCCAGUGGUAUAAAUGGAUUGCAAAUAACACAAGCCCUUUAAGCUGCUGUAGGUAAGAGCAUCUACUAAAAUUUCCACAAAGGAUAGCCCUCAUUCUCUGGAACCAGGAUGGGAGGAUGGGUUUUAUAGGACUAUUUUACGGCUAAUUCUUUAGAAACCUCAGUGAGACCUCUAGCAUGAGUCUUAUGAGAUAAUAUUAUAUUUAUUUAUAUUAGUUAGAUAUUGAGGAUUACAUGGUAUUGCUUAUUUAUUUCAUGGACACAUUUGACUGAAUGACGUGCAUAGUUUAAACAUGUAAAUUCAAAAGCAGUCCUCUUCCCAGUAAUAUCUAUAGCCCCAUGCCUUCUUUAUGAGCACAAACAAAAAUAAAUGCAACUUGACUCCAAUACUUACAAGAAUAAAAGUGAUGUGGGCUUGCCGGAAUUACAAUGGAAUGAGUAUCAUGUCUUGUUAUCAAUCUUGCUUACAGGAAAAAUCUAGCUUUAUUAUAAAACCAGAGAUGCUGUUGUUUGAGGCUAGGCCAAAUUGAAUCAUUUUUGUGGAUAAAGAGCCAAUCUGUUCCUCUUUGCUCUGCCCAUUAUCAGUGUAACUGAAAAAGCCUGGAGUGCUGUCUGAAGUGCCUCUAUACAGUACAUGAAAAACUAAAAAUGGCUCCCUAGCCAAUAUGUCAGCAGCUGAAGUUUCAUGGAGUCCUGAAUUCCAUGUUAAUACAACAAUUCACAAACCAUGGCACAACUAACAUUGCCAACAAAAAUUGAGUGUAAACGCAUAAUUGCACAUUUGGCUGUGAAUUCAUUCUCCUUUUGAGAAUGUUUGAUUUUCUUUAAGCAUUCCUGAAACAGUAGAUGAAACUUCUGUGCAUGUAAUUUAAAACUACCCUAAAAUCUCAUUAUAAUGUGCAAUUUGGAAACUCAUGCCAACAAUCCAUAAACACCUUCACACUAGAAAAUGAAUCUCUUUCCCUGUGCUUAUAUAUAGCUACACUGUUAAAAAAAGCCUUCUUCAACUACAAAAUUGUAAGUUAUUGAUUACAAUGCACUUUUUAAAUUGGCUCAGUUUAGGUUCUUUGGAUGGUUAAAAAUUCUAUGCUCUGGUGACAAGCUUUUUAUGUUGGCGCAUCAGCCAAAAAUAAGUUUUGUAGGUCCAGUAAAAUAUUUGUGAACUACAUUUUAUUACUCCAUUCAAAUACAAAACCAAAAUGACCAAGUUCAUCAGAAUUUUACACUGGGCCAACAUAAAAUACAGUAGAAAGGUGUUGGUGGACUAAAACUAAAUGAGGUGUGGCAAAAUUCCAUCCUUCUAUCAAUCAAUUUCUAUGUUGCUCUCUUCUGGUCAGGGGUUGUCAGGCAGCUGGGGCCUUUGGUGGGGCUAGGAUUUGUUAUCUAAAGCAGUGGUUCUCAAACUCGGUCCUGGGGGACCCCUGUGUAUGCUGGUUUUCAUUCCAACCUC
Molecule: long non-coding RNA, 2193 nt
Organism: Anguilla anguilla (European eel)
Lineage: Eukaryota; Metazoa; Chordata; Actinopteri; Anguilliformes; Anguillidae
Exons: 3
Source: RefSeq, a predicted model, not a curated record